RNAcentral lists this long non-coding RNA (199 nucleotides) under Elaeis guineensis (African oil palm). RNAcentral describes it as "long non-coding RNA (EGUI_LNC000884)". The record is from RNAcentral. Lineage: Eukaryota; Viridiplantae; Streptophyta; Magnoliopsida; Arecales; Arecaceae.
AGCAGAUCGCUCACCCGCUCUUCUCGAACGGGCCAAUGUGGACACGAGCCGGUCAGGUAGGCAUACGUUAAAGUUGGUCUUUCACGGGCAGCUGGCCGAGGAUUGUGAAUCACGAUGGCGUCCCUGGUCCACUCUUCGUUUGUGGCGUACGAUUGGUGGUCCAAUGUCUUACGCCGCCGGCCGCAUGACAGCGCAAUCG